This 468-nucleotide ribosomal RNA is filed under the name uncultured bacterium. Its description in RNAcentral is "partial 16S ribosomal RNA". It matches the Rfam family "Bacterial small subunit ribosomal RNA", at positions 28 to 507 of the family's 1533-position model. The record is from RNAcentral.
GACGAACGCUGGCGGCGUGCUUAACACAUGCGAGUCGAACGGAAAGGCCCUGCUUUUGUGGGGUGCUCGAGUGGCGAACGGGUGAGUAACACGUGAGUAACCUGCCCUUGACUUUGGGAUAACUUCAGGAAACUGGGGCUAAUACCGGAUAGGAGCUCCUGCUGCAUGGUGGUGGUUGGAAAGUUUCGGCGGUUGGGGAUGGACUCGCGGCUUAUCAGCUUGUUGGUGGGGUAGUGGCUUACCAAGGCUUUGACGGGUAGCCGGCCUGAGAGGGUGACCGGCCACAUUGGGACUGAGAUACGGCCCAGACUCCUACGGGAGGCAGCAGUGGGGAAUAUUGCACAAUGGGCGGAAGCCUGAUGCAGCAACGCCGCGUGCGGGAUGACGGCCUUCGGGUUGUAAACCGCUUUCGCCUGUGACGAAGCGUGAGUGACGGUAAUGGGUAAAGAAGCACCGGCUAACUACGUG